GACGAACGCUGGCGGCGUGCUUAACACAUGCAAGUCGAGCGGUAAGGCCCUUUCGGGGGUACACGAGCGGCGAACGGGUGAGUAACACGUGGGUGACCUGCCCUUAGCUCUGGGAUAAGCCUGGGAAACUGGGUCUAAUACCGGAUAUGACUCCAUGACGCAUGUUGUGGGGUGGAAAGCCUUGUGCGGCUAGGGAUGGGCCCGCGGCCUAUCAGCUUGUUGGUGGGGUGANGGCCUACCAAGGCGACGACGGGUAGCCGGCCUGAGAGGGCGACCGGCCACACUGGGACUGAGACACGGCCCAGACUCCUACGGGAGGCAGCAGUGGGGAACCUUGCGCAAUGGGCGAAAGCCUGACGCAGCGACGCCGCGUGGGGAUGACGGCCU
This 387-nucleotide ribosomal RNA is filed under the name uncultured bacterium. RNAcentral's name for it is "bacterial SSU rRNA". It matches the Rfam family "Bacterial small subunit ribosomal RNA", at positions 28 to 417 of the family's 1533-position model. The record is from RNAcentral.